AAUAGAACAAAAAAGAGGGUGUGGAUGCGCUUUAUCUAGUUUUGUAUAAUUUUUUUCUUUACUAUCCCCCCUUUUGUUCUAUUCAGACCUAUUUCUUUUCGGUUUUUUUUUGAAGUCUUUCUCUAAAACUCUAAAAAAGUAUUCUUAAAGUUUUUUAUUUAUCUAAUUCUUUAGAUAUUAUUUAUUAAUUUCCAUAUUUAUUAUAUCUAUUUAUUAAUAUAUAAUUUGAUUUGUUAUUUGGAUUUGAAUUCAAUUUAAUAAAUAACCAAUUAACUCUUUUUGUUUUGUUAUUGUAUGUUUUUAGUAUUUU
This 310-nucleotide long non-coding RNA is filed under the name Citrus maxima (pomelo). RNAcentral describes it as "long non-coding RNA (CMAX_LNC004317)". Lineage: Eukaryota; Viridiplantae; Streptophyta; Magnoliopsida; Sapindales; Rutaceae. The record is from RNAcentral.